Molecule: ribosomal RNA, 503 nt
Filed under: uncultured bacterium
Lineage: Bacteria
Description: partial 16S ribosomal RNA
Rfam family: Bacterial small subunit ribosomal RNA
Source: RNAcentral
AUUGAACGCUGGCGGCAGGCUUAACACAUGCAAGUCGAGCGGGGUGAUGGUGCUUGCACUAUCACUUAGCGGCGGACGGGUGAGUAAUGCUUAGGAAUCUGCCUAUUAGUGGGGGACAACAUCUCGAAAGGGAUGCUAAUACCGCAUACGUCCUACGGGAGAAAGCAGGGGAUCACUUGUGACCUUGCGCUAAUAGAUGAGCCUAAGUCGGAUUAGCUAGUUGGUGGGGUAAAGGCCUACCAAGGCGACGAUCUGUAGCGGGUCUGAGAGGAUGAUCCGCCACACUGGGACUGAGAAACGGCCCAGACUCCUACGGGAGGCAGCAGUGGGGAAUAUUGGACAAUGGGGGGAACCCUGAUCCAGCCAUGCCGCGUGUGUGAAGAAGGCCUUAUGGUUGUAAAGCACUUUAAGCGAGGAGGAGGCUUACCUAGUUAAUACCUGGGAUAAGUGGACGUUACUCGCAGAAUAAGCACCGGCUAACCCUGUGCCAGCAGCCGCAGUAA